GACGAACGCUGGCGGCGUGCUUAACACAUGCAAGUCGAACGGAAAGGCCCUGCUUUUGUGGGGUGCUCGAGUGGCGAACGGGUGAGUAACACGUGAGUAACCUGCCCUUGACUUUGGGAUAACUUCAGGAAACUGGGGCUAAUACCGGAUAGGAGCUCCUGCUGAAUGGUGGGGGUUGGAAAGUUUCGGCGGUUGGGGAUGGACUCGCGGCUUAUCAGCUUGUUGGUGGGGUAGUGGCUUACCAAGGCUUUGACGGGUAGCCGGCCUGAGAGGGUGACCGGCCACAUUGGGACUGAGAUACGGCCCAGACUCCUACGGUAGGCAGCAGUGGGGAAUAUUGCACAAUGGGCGGAAGCCUGAUGCAGCAACGCCGCGUGCGGGAUGACGGCCUUCGGGUUGUAAACCGCUUUCGCCUGUGACGAAGCGUGAGUGACGGUAAUGGGUAAAGAAGCACCGGCUAACUACGUG
This 468-nucleotide ribosomal RNA is filed under the name uncultured bacterium. RNAcentral describes it as "partial 16S ribosomal RNA". It matches the Rfam family "Bacterial small subunit ribosomal RNA", at positions 28 to 507 of the family's 1533-position model. The record is from RNAcentral.